UACGUAGGGGGCAAGCGUUGUCCGGAAUCAUUGGGCGUAAAGCGCGUGUAGGCGGCUGAGUAAGUCUGCUCUGAAAGCCCGGGGCUCAACCCCGGGAGGCGGGUGGAUACUGCUCAGCUCGAGUCCGGAAGAGGAGUGUGGAAUUCCUGGUGUAGCGGUGGAAUGCGCAGAUAUCAGGAAGAACACCCGUGGCGAAGGCGGCUCUCUGGAACGCAACUGACGCUGAGACGCGAAAGCGUGGGGAGCAAACAGG
Molecule: ribosomal RNA, 253 nt
Filed under: uncultured bacterium
Lineage: Bacteria
Description: partial 16S ribosomal RNA
Rfam family: Bacterial small subunit ribosomal RNA
Source: RNAcentral